This 372-nucleotide ribosomal RNA is filed under the name uncultured organism. RNAcentral's name for it is "partial 16S ribosomal RNA". It matches the Rfam family "Bacterial small subunit ribosomal RNA", at positions 527 to 896 of the family's 1533-position model. The record is from RNAcentral.
GGGGGGAGCGAGCGUUGUUCGGAAUCACUGGGCGUAAAGGGCGCGUAGGCGGCCGGAUAAGUCAUGUGUGAAAGACCGGGGCUCAACUCCGUGUAUUGCAUGCGAUACUGCCCGGCUAGAGUAAGGUAGAGGCGAGUGGAAUUCCCGGUGUAGCGGUGGAAUGCGUAGAUAUCGGGAAGAACACCUGUGGCGAAGGCGGCUCGCUGGGCCUUUUCUGACGCUGAAGCGCGAAAGCGUGGGGAGCAAACAGGAUUAGAUACCCUGGUAGUCCACGCCGUAAACGAUGGGCAUUAGGCGUUGGGAGGAUUGACCCUCUCAGUGCCGUAGCUAACGCGUUAAAUGCCCCCGCCUGGGGAUACGGCCGCAAGGCUG